Molecule: ribosomal RNA, 471 nt
Filed under: Treponema sp. oral taxon 239
Lineage: Bacteria; Pseudomonadati; Spirochaetota; Spirochaetia; Treponematales; Treponemataceae
Description: bacterial SSU rRNA
Rfam family: Bacterial small subunit ribosomal RNA
Source: RNAcentral
AACGAACGCUGGCGGCGCGUCUUAAGCAUGCAAGUCGAACGGCAAGAGAAGAGCUUGCUCUUCUCCUAGAGUGGCGGACUGGUGAGUAACACGUGGGUAAUCUACCCUUGAGAUGGGGAUAGCCGUUAGAAAUAGCGGGUAAUACCGAAUACACUCAUUUGCAUAAAGGCAGGUGAGGAAAGGAAGCUACGGCUUCGCUCGAGGAUGAGCUUGCGUCCCAUUAGCUAGUUGGUGAGGUAAAGGCCCACCAAGGCGACGAUGGGUAUCCGGCCUGAGAGGGUGAUCGGACACAUUGGGACUGAGAUACGGCCCAAACUCCUACGGGAGGCAGCAGCUAAGAAUAUUCCGCAGUGGACGGAAGUCUGACGGAGCGACGCCGCGUGGAUGAAGAAGGCUGAAAAGUUGUAAAAUCCUUUUGCUGAUGAAGAAUAAGGAUAGGAGGGAAUGCCUAUCUGAUGACGGUAAUCGGCG